Odocoileus virginianus texanus is the source of this 389-nucleotide non-coding RNA. NCBI's taxonomy places the organism in Eukaryota, Metazoa, Chordata, Mammalia, Artiodactyla, Cervidae. The record is from RefSeq and is a predicted model, not a curated record.
GUGAUGAAUCACAUGAAUGUCUUCCUGAUUUAUUUAUAUAACCACCGUCAGUACAGCUGGUCAGUUGUGCUAGCUGACCUAUUUGCCGUCCAAAUAUUUGUGCUCUCUUUUCCAAAGGAUUAAACCAUACAGGCUGAACUGAAAUGUAAGAACAUGACUUGAAUAUUUCAUGCUGUACUGAUUGGAUCCCCGUCCAUAUCCACAUCAAUGUGGACAAGAUUUUAAUGUAUUAGCCCAUAUUAGGCAUGUCAAGAAUUGUAAAUGGUCUGAAUUUUACCCUAUUUGCAAGCUAACAAAUCAACAGUCUAUUAAGACUAAUGAACAAUUUUAUUCAAGCUGACAAGAAACAGAAAAGUGCUGGAUCAGAGACAAAAUCUACUUACAGCAGA